This 1434-nucleotide long non-coding RNA is filed under the name Vitis vinifera (wine grape). RNAcentral's name for it is "long non-coding RNA (VVIN_LNC002535)". Lineage: Eukaryota; Viridiplantae; Streptophyta; Magnoliopsida; Vitales; Vitaceae. The record is from RNAcentral.
AUACUUUGGGUCCACAAUGAAUGCAUUUAUAUCCAUUCAUGAAAGGAAUAAUCACAUUCCUCUGUCCAAAAUGCAAAAGUUUCUAAAAGGGUCAAACAAUCGUUCUCUUAAACUUGUCGUAGUUUCAUAACCAAGACCUUGCUAAGAGGCUGACCAUGCAACUCUCCAUUGCUGCUUGAUGAUUGAUAAAUAUAACUAUGUGAGUGAGAAAUUCCAAUCGAGUAUGAGGGAUCUUAACCAAAUGAACUAUUUGAGUAAAGUCAAAAGGUUAGAACAUAUAUUCCAUACAAACCAAAUCAACCAUUCGAGUAAGUCAGAAAAUUAGAACAUGGAGAAGAAUUCUUUUUCUAUUGGGAUUUGAAAUGAUAUAACCAUGUUCAAAUGCUCCAAUCUCCACUCUAUUUGAUUCUCCAAAACCACUUUUUCGAUUGUUUCGUUCCUCUUCUAGUGAUUCAUCAGAUUCAUUGGAAAAUUGAACCAAUUCAGUCCAAGAUGGCAAAGCAUUACGGAACACAACAAAAGAAGCCAAAUCAGAAAAAUAAAAAUUAAAAGAAAAAGGAAAGAAACCAACGGCAACAAAACAAGACAAGAAAACAGAAAAACAAAAGCAAUUUGACCUAUAGGGAACACAAUAUAUGGAAUAUAUUCCCAUCUCAUUCAAUUGUGCUCUUCAAAGCUAGUGGCAUCUCCAUCUCGUCAGCUUCAGGGUAAUUGUCUUCCCCGUUAGGGUUUUGAAUAUCGCCCACGGAAUGUGAAGAAUCCUCAUUUUUCUGAGAUGGGAGGAAGAAGAGCCUCCAUGCAAGAAGAAAAAUAAAAAGCAAGAACCCUAAUCUGUGUAUCUAUCUCUCUUGUUUCUUCAAAAAUUAAGAGAAACAAUGGGGACAGAUGUGAAGAAUCCUCGUUUUGCCGCAAGCAUUUUAGAGAGAUCAGAAAAAGAAAAGCAUCCAUAUAAGAAGAAAAAUGAAAAGGGAUAACCCAGAAAAAUGAAAACGAAGAACCCUAAUUGUGUAUCUAUCUCUCUUGUUUCUUCAAAAAUUAAGAGAAACAUUGGAGACAGACCCAUUAGGGUUUUCAAGAUCGCCUAUGGAAUUUGUCCACAUGCGAAGAAUCCUCGUUCCGCCGCAAGCAUUUUAGAGAGAUCAGAUGAAGAAAAGCAUCCAUAUAAGAAGAAAAAUGAAAAGGAAGAACCCAGAAAAAUAAAAAGAAAGAACCCUAAUUGUGUAUCUAUCUCUCUUGUUUCUUCAAAAUUAAGAGAAACAUCGGAGACAGACCCAUUAGGGUUCUGAAGAUCGCCUAUGGAAUUUAUCCACAUGCGAAGAUUCCUUGUUUUGCCGCAAGCAUUUUAGAGAGAUCGGAUGAAGAAAAACAUCCAUAUAAGAAGAAAAAUAAAAAGGAAGAACCAUAAUCUGUAUAUCUAUCUCUCUUGUUUCUUCA